UACGGAGGGUGCAAGCGUUGUUCGGAAUCACUGGGCGUAAAGCGCGUGUAGGCGGCCUCGUAAGUCUGGUGUGAAAGCCCGGGGCUUACCCCCGGAAGUGCACUGGAAACUGCAAGGCUUGAGUACCGGAGAGGAGGGUGGAAUUCCUGGUGUAGCGGUGAAAUGCGUAGAUAUCAGGAGGAACACCGGUGGCGAAGGCGGCCCUCUGGACGGAUACUGACGCUGAGACGCGAAAGCGUGGGGAGCGAACAGG
This 253-nucleotide ribosomal RNA is filed under the name uncultured bacterium. RNAcentral describes it as "partial 16S ribosomal RNA". It matches the Rfam family "Bacterial small subunit ribosomal RNA", at positions 524 to 776 of the family's 1533-position model. The record is from RNAcentral.